GGGCGGGUAGCUCAGUGGUAGAGCGCCUCCCUUACAAGGAGGACGUCGCAGGUUCGACCCCUGUCCCGCCCACCA
RNAcentral lists this transfer RNA (75 nucleotides) under Sandaracinus sp. RNAcentral describes it as "tRNA-Val". It matches the Rfam family "tRNA". Rfam says of the family: Transfer RNA (tRNA) molecules are approximately 80 nucleotides in length. Lineage: Bacteria; Pseudomonadati; Myxococcota; Polyangiales; Sandaracinaceae. The record is from RNAcentral.